GUCGUCAUCGAAAAGUUUUCUUCUCAUCACAUCCCUUUGCUCCAUCUUUCAAUAGGACUUUGUUUUAGGAGACAUAUGGGUGGUAUCCAUAGCCAUGAUUUUCAUCUCUUUAUCCUCCAUGUCUUUUAAUUGUGCUUGCUGCCUUUCAAUUGCAAAUACUUCAUGUCGUGCCUUGUCCGCUUCUUCUCUUUUCAAGUCUCCCUCAAGUCUCAGUGCACUAUUCUUAGCAACUUGCUCCAAAAAUUGUGCACAUUCAUUGUUCGAAGUGCUUCCUUUCUUCGCCUUUGCCGCCUUUCUCCCAAUAGGUCUCGGUGCACGUGGGAGUGGUGAGUCUUGAUCCAUUGGGG
Molecule: long non-coding RNA, 347 nt
Filed under: Prunus persica (peach)
Lineage: Eukaryota; Viridiplantae; Streptophyta; Magnoliopsida; Rosales; Rosaceae
Description: long non-coding RNA (PPER_LNC006429)
Source: RNAcentral